RNAcentral lists this ribosomal RNA (256 nucleotides) under uncultured bacterium. RNAcentral describes it as "partial 16S ribosomal RNA". It matches the Rfam family "Bacterial small subunit ribosomal RNA", at positions 524 to 776 of the family's 1533-position model. The record is from RNAcentral.
UACGUAGGGUGCAAGCGUUGUCCGGAAUUAUUGGGCGUAAAGCGCGUGUAGGCGGCUUUGCAAGUCGGGGUGUGAAAGCCCUCAGCUCAACUGAGGAAGUGCGCCCGAAACUGCAGAGCUUGAGUGCCGGAGAGGGUGGCGGAAUUCCCCAAGUAGAGGUGAAAUUCGUAGAGAUGUGGAGGAACACCAGUGGCGAAGGCGGGCUUUUUGGUCUGUAACUGACGCUGAGGCGCGAAAGCGUGGGGGAGCAAACAGG